This is a long non-coding RNA of Eucalyptus grandis, 917 nucleotides long. RefSeq lists it as uncharacterized. The record is from RefSeq and is a predicted model, not a curated record. Lineage: Eukaryota; Viridiplantae; Streptophyta; Magnoliopsida; Myrtales; Myrtaceae. The transcript has 7 exons.
AAUGUAGUUCUGUCAAAUUGGAAACUUUCUUUCGAUAGUAGUGAUUCUGAAGUCAAAUCAUUGUGCUAAUAACUUACAGUCUAUGAACAAAUGACUGAAUAACUUGAGUGCCACGGGUAUUAACUAGAUAAGAAAAAUAUUAUGUGCACUAAAACAUGUAAUUUUCAGCGAUAUUCAUCAAGAACAACAACUCCUGUGUCUGCCUUAAUCCUCUCAAUGUGAGCCACAGUUAGGUUAAUCCUCAAACUUCAUCACCACUCCAGUUGUUCCCACUCUGGAACUCUAACUCGGAAGCAUUGACCCAAGUUCCACUGCUGUGCUGUGAGAAAUAGACCUCCCACAGCUCACCAGUGAAAUUGUUGAUUGGGAUCCGGAAGAUAUGUGUUCCAAGGAUAUGCAAACUUGUGACAGCUGUAGCCUCAUUUUCCCUCGUAGAAGUAUGAAAAAGAUGGAAGGCCCAAGUGGUGAAGCUCAAAUUUUGUGUAGACAUUGUGCCAAGUUACUGAAAUCCAAAUAAUACUGCGGAAUAUGCAAGAAAAUUUGGCAUCAUUCCGACGAUGGAGAUUAGGUAUGUUGCGAUGGUUGCAAUGUAUGGGUGCAUGCUGAGUGUGCCAAUAUCUCCAGCCGACUUUUAAAGGAGCUACAGCACUCUGAUUACUACUGCCCAGAUUGGAGGCCAAGACCACUUGCAAAACGCCAAACUUACAGAAAUUGGAGCCAAAAGAGAUGUUGGUGGAAAACAAGCAAGCUCCUUUGCCUGACAAGGUUUCUGUGGUGUGCAAUGGCAUGGAAGGGUCAUAUAUUCCAAAACUUCAUCUAAUUGUGUGCAAGUGUGGCUCAUGUGAUUUAAAGAUGCAGACACCUAGUGAAUGGGAACGGCACACAGGUUGCAGAGCCAAAAAGUGGAAGUACAGUGU